RNAcentral lists this ribosomal RNA (483 nucleotides) under uncultured bacterium. Its description in RNAcentral is "partial 16S ribosomal RNA". It matches the Rfam family "Bacterial small subunit ribosomal RNA", at positions 28 to 507 of the family's 1533-position model. The record is from RNAcentral.
GACGAACGCUGGCGGCGUGCUUAACACAUGCAAGUCGAACGCUGAAGCUCAGCUUUUGUUGGGUGGAUGAGUGGCGAACGGGUGAGUAACACGUGAGUAACCUGCCUCCUUCUUUGGGAUAACGCCCGGAAACGGGUGCUAAUACUGGAUAUUCACUGGUCUUCGCAUGGGGGUUGGUGGAAAGGGUUUUUCUGGUGGGGGAUGGGCUCGCUGCCUAUCAGCUUGUUGGUGGGGUUAUUGCCUAACAAGGCUUUGACGGGUAGCCGGCCUGAGAGGGUGAACGGUCACAUUGGGACUGAGAUACGGCCCAGACUAGUACGGGAGGCAGCAGUGGGGAAUAUUGCACAAUGGGCGCAAGCCUGAUGCAGCGACGCCGCGUGAGGGAUGGAGGCCUUCGGGUUGUGAACCUCUUUCGCUAAUGGUCAAGCCGCAACAAUGGUUGUGGUGAGGGUAGUGGGUAAAGAAGCGCCGGCUAACUACGUG